CGCGUUUAUCCCGAGCGAAAAAGAUAUCUCUGGGGGAAAAAACACAGKUKUGUUUAAAAUAAUUUAGUCUAUUGACCAUCUGUAAAAAAGUAAAAUUUGUAUACAGAUAGCUAAUCUAGAAGUGGCUAUAAUAAUACUGAAGCUGUGAUAGUCUUGAGGGAAACUGGGAUUAGAUACCCCAUUAUUCUUGACUGUAAAUAUAAUUAGAUUUACCAGAGUACUAUGAAUAGUUAAAAAUUUAAAACUCAAAGGGCUUGGCGGUGUUUUAGACCUAUCAGGGGAACCUGUCUCGUAAUCGACAAUCCGCGUUAUAUCUAACCUCAUUUUGUAUUCAGUUUGUAUACCGUCGUCGUCAGGUAACUUUUAAAAAUAUAGAAGUUAGCAAUAGAAAUUAUGUAAAUUAAGACGUCAGAUCAAGGUGCAGCCUAUAGUGAGGAGAGGAUGGGUUACAAUUAUUAAAUUUAUAAUUACGGAAAUUUAAAUGAAAUUAUAUUUAGAAGGAGGACUUGAAAGUAAACUAAAAUAUAUAAAUAGUUUGAAUAAGGCUCUG
This 550-nucleotide ribosomal RNA is filed under the name Tritia ephamilla. RNAcentral describes it as "partial 12S ribosomal RNA". It matches the Rfam family "Bacterial small subunit ribosomal RNA", at positions 516 to 1376 of the family's 1533-position model. The record is from RNAcentral. Lineage: Eukaryota; Metazoa; Mollusca; Gastropoda; Neogastropoda; Nassariidae.